RNAcentral lists this ribosomal RNA (484 nucleotides) under uncultured bacterium. Its description in RNAcentral is "partial 16S ribosomal RNA". It matches the Rfam family "Bacterial small subunit ribosomal RNA", at positions 30 to 507 of the family's 1533-position model. The record is from RNAcentral.
AUUGAACGCUGGCGGCAGGCCUAACACAUGCAAGUCGAGCGGAUGAAGUGAGCUUGCUCCUGGAUUCAGCGGCGGACGGGUGUGUAAUGCCUAGGAAUCUGCCUGGUAGUGGGGGAUAACGUCCGGAAACGGGCGCUAAUACCGCAUACGUCCUGAGGGAGAAAGUUUGUGAUCUUCGGACCUCACGCUAUCAGAUGAGCCUAGGUCGGAUUAGCUAGUUGGUGGGGUAACGGCCUACCAAGGCGACGAUCCGUAACUGGUCUGAGAGGAUGAUCAGUCACACUGGAACUGAGACACGGUACAGACUCCUACGGGAGGCAGCAGUGGGGAAUAUUGGACAAUGGGAGAAAGCCUGAUCCAGCCAUGCCGCGUGUGUGAAGAAGGUCUUCGGAUUGUAAAGCACUUUAAGUUGGGAGGAAGGGCAGUAAGUUAAUACCGUGCUGAUUUGACGUUACCAACAGAAUAAGCACCGGCUAACUUCGUG